RNAcentral lists this ribosomal RNA (814 nucleotides) under Tepidimicrobium xylanilyticum. RNAcentral's name for it is "bacterial SSU rRNA". It matches the Rfam family "Bacterial small subunit ribosomal RNA", at positions 159 to 990 of the family's 1533-position model. The record is from RNAcentral. Lineage: Bacteria; Bacillati; Bacillota; Tissierellia; Tissierellales; Tepidimicrobiaceae.
GGGAUUAAUACCCUAUGACACCUAGGUAUCGCAUGAUACUUAGGUUAAAGCGAUUUAGCGGUGGGAGAUGGCCUCACGUCCCAUUAGCUAGUUGGUGAGGUAACGGCUCACCAAGGCGACGAUGGGUAGCCGGCCUGAGAGGGUGACCGGCCACACUGGGACUGAGACACGGCCCAGACUCCUACGGGAGGCAGCAGUGGGGAAUAUUGCACAAUGGGCGAAAGCCUGAUGCAGCGACGCCGCGUGAGCGAAGAAGGCCUUCGGGUCGUAAAGCUCUGUCCUAUGGGAAGAUAAUGACGGUACCAUAGGAGGAAGCCCCGGCUAACUACGUGCCAGCAGCCGCGGUAAUACGUAGGGGGCGAGCGUUGUCCGGAAUGACUGGGCGUAAAGGGUACGUAGGCGGCUGAGUAAGUCAGGUGUGAAAGUCUAGGGCUCAACCCUAGUGAGCAUUUGAAACUGCUUAGCUUGAGUCGAGGAGAGGAAGGUGGAAUUCCUGGUGUAGCGGUGAAAUGCGUAGAUAUCAGGAGGAAUACCAGUGGCGAAGGCGACCUUCUGGCCUUGGACUGACGCUGAGGUACGAAAGCGUGGGGAGCAAACAGGAUUAGAUACCCUGGUAGUCCACGCUGUAAACGAUGAGUGCUAGGUGUCGGGGGAGAUAUCCUUCGGUGCCGAAGUUAACACAUUAAGCACUCCGCCUGGGGAGUACGGUCGCAAGACUGAAACUCAAAGGAAUUGACGGGGGACCCGCACAAGCAGCGGAGCAUGUGGUUUAAUUCGAUGCAACGCGAAGAACCUUACCAGGCCUUGACAUCCC